This is a non-coding RNA of Arachis ipaensis, 121 nucleotides long. Lineage: Eukaryota; Viridiplantae; Streptophyta; Magnoliopsida; Fabales; Fabaceae. The record is from RefSeq and is a predicted model, not a curated record.
CAGGUAAGAACCCUCUAACCCCUUAUGAAAUGUUGAAUUAGUGAACUCUAUAUUGAUUAUAGUGAUAAUUGUGAUGUUACAUUGAAAUUGGUUAUCAGCGAGGGAAAAAAUGGAGAAAAGU